This 497-nucleotide ribosomal RNA is filed under the name uncultured bacterium. RNAcentral describes it as "partial 16S ribosomal RNA". It matches the Rfam family "Bacterial small subunit ribosomal RNA", at positions 28 to 507 of the family's 1533-position model. The record is from RNAcentral.
GAUGAACGCUGGCGGCGUGCCUAAUACAUGCAAGUCGAGCGAACAGACGAGGAGCUUGCUCCACUGACGUUAGCGGCGGACGGGUGAGUAACACGUGGAUAACCUACCUAUAAGACUGGGAUAACUUCGGGAAACCGGAGCUAAUACCGGAUAAUAUAUUGAACCGCAUGGUUCAAUAGUGAAAGACGGUUUUGCUGUCACUUAUAGAUGGAUCCGCGCCGCAUUAGCUAGUUGGUAAGGUAACGGCUUACCAAGGCAACGAUGCGUAGCCGACCUGAGAGGGUGAUCGGCCACACUGGAGCUGAGACACGGUCCAGACUCCUACGGGAGGCAGCAGUAGGGAAUCUUCGGCAAUGGGCGAAAGCUUGACGGAGCAACGCCGCGUGAGUGAUGAAGGUCUUCGGAUCGGAAAACUCUGUUAUUAGGGAAGAACAAAUGUGUAAGUAACUAUGCACGUCUUGACGGUACCUAAUCAGAAAGCCACGGCUAACUACGUG